AUGGCUAUCACGAUAAAGCGAUGUAUUCAGCCUACCCAGUCCAGAGUGACUCCUUUAUGGUGUUACAACGGAGAGGACGACGCAUCUCGUUACAGAUGCAAUGGCCCGGAUACCCCAGCCGAACUGGCCAUAAUCUUGGCUGAUCUUUAUAAGGGGGAGAAAGAAGAUUUUCUCUGUUUAAAUUGCCGGGAAGGCUUUUCCAUGUACAAUCCCAUCGAAUGGUCAUGGAGGAAGAUGGUCGAGAACAUUCAUUGCCUCUCCCCACAGCCAGAGGAUUAUGCUCACAAUGAAGACCCCGACUUCUGA
Molecule: ribosomal RNA, 306 nt
Filed under: Triticum aestivum (bread wheat)
Lineage: Eukaryota; Viridiplantae; Streptophyta; Magnoliopsida; Poales; Poaceae
Description: partial small subunit ribosomal RNA
Source: RNAcentral